AAAGGUUUGAAACGUGACAAAAGGGAAAAGUUGGUUUUGGCGCAUUGGUUUUGGGGUAUGGUAGAGAAGGAGAAAACGGUUAAAGGAAUCUCAAAAAAAGGAACGGUGGGGAGGAGCAUGAUACAUACCGCAUGACCACAGCCAAAAAGGAGCAGGAGGAACACAUCUAAGGGGGAAUCAAAACAGAAUAUUGACCUCAAAGGCCAUAUUCAUUCAGAGGAAGAUUUGGGAGGAAUUUUGGUAACAAAAAAAAGACCAAAAUUCAUCAGAGAAAAAGGAGAGGAGAUCGCGACACUCUCAGGCUUCACCAUUCCCUCAUCGAUUACAUCAUUGUUAUUCCCUCAUUCAUUGAUCAGAGAUCAGGCCGCAAUGGAUUCCCCAAUUUAUUCAUCAGAUAACACCUCUACCGUAUCACCUCUACCGGGAGCAUUCACUCAAUUUGAUCCUCUUUCACUUUCUCUGCUGAAAAUUAGUCAUUCUGGCUCUCAUUUAUCGAGUUGAUCAGAAACAUAUUCAUCAUCCGUCAUUCACCUCUCACACUACCCCCAAGUUCUAAUUCACUUACAUUCUACUCUCUAUCAACACAACAGUAUCACCCCCUUUGGAACCAACCUCCUCCAUCACAGAAUCACCAAACAAAAGAAAAACAAAGAAACUCAAUCACGCCUUACCUUCUUCUUCCAUUUUCAUCACCCAAAAACAUCCUUUCAUUACCUGCAAAUCCAACAGAACAACCACAAUCAUCCUCACCCACUCUCACGACAACGUCAUCACCAAAGCCCCAAGACUCACGCCCAGCACAACACAAUACGAACUAGAGGUUAAUUGUUGGCGGUGGGUGUGAUUUUUUAGUAGAAGCGUUGCGAUCAUGACGAUUUGGUUUCAUCUUCGAUUCGCAUAGCAAAGGAAGAAGAGUUUUCCUCGUCGGCAAUGGAGCAUCGACCUUGGCUGACGGCAACGUCUUUAGGCAAGCGACAACGAGAACGAAGAACUCUCUGAGUUAGGGUCUAGCUCACUGAGUAAAGGGGGUAGGUGUUUUCAAUCGCCGUGAGAAACGCGGUUUCUUCCAGCAUAGGUUUGUGGUGUUUGGUCUUGUGAGUGGCGGCAACGGCAACGCCCAGUCUCGUUGUGACAGUAGCAGCGGCGAGCAAGGACGAGAUUACCCUCCCCCUCGCGUGAAGAGGAGAGGAAGAAAAUAGGGCUUGGUGUAGUGACCGGCGGAGAUUGUGGUGGUGACCGACGCCACUAGGCGACACCUUGGACGACGGCUUGCAGCGGUGGUUGCCCUUUGCGCGCACCUGAGAGGAUGCAGGUGCCACCCUAGGUUUCCUGCUUCGCGGCUUUGGAUCCAAGUGGAGAGGGUUAGAGACCUCAAUCUUGGACGCGGAUGGCAAAUGAGGAUUCAAUGGAAACCCUAAGGUGUUCUGGAAAAAAAAAAAAGGGCUUGGGCCAGACAAGUGGGCUGGAUCUUCUUCCUGUCGCCACACGCGAUUCCUAUGGGUGUUGCUCCCUGCACCUCCCCGACUGCUCCCUCCACCUCCC
Molecule: long non-coding RNA, 1542 nt
Filed under: Vigna radiata
Lineage: Eukaryota; Viridiplantae; Streptophyta; Magnoliopsida; Fabales; Fabaceae
Description: long non-coding RNA (VRAD_LNC004875)
Source: RNAcentral